AGAGUUUGAUCCUGGCUCAGGAUGAACGCUAGCGACAGGCUUAACACAUGCAAGUCGAGGGGCAGCGGGGGCGUAGCAAUAUGCCUGCCGGCGACCGGCGCACGGGUGAGUAACACGUAUGUAACCUGCCCUAUGCAGGGGGAUAACCCGGAGAAAUCCGGCCUAAUACCGCGUAACACCUUAGGGGAGCAUUCUCUUGAGGUUAAAGGAGAGAUCCGGCAUAGGAUGGACAUGCGUCGCAUUAGGUAGACGGCGGGGUAACGGCCCACCGUGCCGACGAUGCGUAGGGGUUCUGAGAGGAAGGCCCCCCACACUGGUACUGAGACACGGACCAGACUCCUACGGGAGGCAGCAGUGAGGAAUAUUGGUCAAUGGCCGAGAGGCUGAACCAGCCAAGUCGCGUGAGGGAAGAAUGUCCUAAGGAUUGUAAACCUCUUUUGUCGGGGAGCAAAAAGGCUCUGCGGAGUCGUAUUGAGAGUACCCGAAGAAAAAGCAUCGGCUAACUCCGUGCCAGCAGCCGCGGUAAUACGGAGGAUGCGAGCGUUAUCCGGAUUUAUUGGGUUUAAAGGGUGCGCAGGCGGCGUGCCAAGCAAGCGGUAAAAUAGCGGGGCUCAACCCCGUCGAGCCGUUUGAACUGGCGCGCUUGAGUUCAGGCGAGGUAGGCGGAAUUCGUGGUGUAGCGGUGAAAUGCAUAGAUAUCACGAAGAACUCCGAUUGCGAAGGCAGCUUACCAGUCUGCGACUGACGCUCAGGCACGAAAGUGUGGGUAUCGAACAGGAUUAGAUACCCUGGUAGUCCACACAGUAAACGAUGAGCGCUAGGUGUCCGGGUCGCAUGAGACUUGGGUGCCCGAGCGAAAGCGUUAAGCGCUCCACCUGGGGAGUACGCCGGCAACGGUGAAACUCAAAGGAAUUGACGGGGGCCCGCACAAGCGGAGGAACAUGUGGUUUAAUUCGAUGAUACGCGAGGAACCUUACCCGGGCUCAAACGACUCAGGAAUAUAUUGGAAACGAUGUAGCCAGCAAUGGUCUGAGUCGAGGUGCUGCAUGGUUGUCGUCAGCUCGUGCCGUGAGGUGUCGGCUUAAGUGCCAUAACGAGCGCAACCCCUACCGCCAGUUGCCAACGGGUAAAGCCGGGAACUCUGGCGGGACUGCCGGCGCAAGCUGUGAGGAAGGCGGGGAUGACGUCAAAUCAGCACGGCCCUUACGUCCGGGGCGACACACGUGUUACAAUGGCAGGUACAGCGGGAAGCCACCUGGUGACAGGGAGCGGAACCCGAAAGCCUGUCUCAGUUCGGAUUGGAGUCUGCAACUCGACUCCAUGAAGCUGGAUUCGCUAGUAAUCGCGCAUCAGCCAUGGCGCGGUGAAUACGUUCCCGGGCCUUGUACACACCGCCCGUCA
Molecule: ribosomal RNA, 1401 nt
Filed under: uncultured bacterium
Lineage: Bacteria
Description: 16S ribosomal RNA
Rfam family: Bacterial small subunit ribosomal RNA
Source: RNAcentral